CAUGUCUUUUUGAUAAUAAUUUAAAGUCUGACCUGCCCUAUGAUAUUUAUAUUAAAUGGCCGCGAUAGUUUGAUCGUGCAAAGGUAGCAUAAUCAUUAGUUUUUUAAUUGGGAACUGGUAUGAAAGGUCGAACGAGAAAAAGACUGUCUCAGUUUAAUUUUAUUAGAAUUUUAUUUUUAAGUAAGAACGCUUAAAUAAUUUUAAAAGACGAGAAGACCCUAUAGAGUUUUAUAUUUAUUAAUUUUAGGGAGAAUUUUAGAAUUUAUCUCUUUUUAUUUUUAAUAAAUAUUUGGUUGGGGCGAUUAAAAAAUUUAAUAAACUUUUUUUAAAUGUAUUACAUUGAUAUAUGAUUAAGUGAUCCAUAAAUUAUGAUUAAAAGAUUAAAUUACCUUAGGGAUAACAGCGUUAUUUUUUUUGAGAGUUCUUAUCGAAAAAAAAGUUU
RNAcentral lists this ribosomal RNA (442 nucleotides) under Proagoderus schwaneri. RNAcentral describes it as "partial 16S ribosomal RNA". The record is from RNAcentral. Lineage: Eukaryota; Metazoa; Arthropoda; Insecta; Coleoptera; Scarabaeidae.